Molecule: ribosomal RNA, 490 nt
Filed under: uncultured bacterium
Lineage: Bacteria
Description: partial 16S ribosomal RNA
Rfam family: Bacterial small subunit ribosomal RNA
Source: RNAcentral
AUUGAACGCUGGCGGCAGGCCUAACACAUGCAAGUCGAACGGUAACAGGAAUAAGCUUGCUUCUUUGCUGACGAGUGGCGGACGGGUGAGUAAUGUCUGGGAAACUUCCUGAUGGAGGGGGAUAACUACUGGAAACGGUAGCUAAUACCGCAUAACGUCGCAAGACCAAAGAGGGGGACCUUCGGGCCUCUUGCCAUCGGAUGUGCCCAGAUGGGAUUAGCUAGUAGGUGGGGUAACGGCUCACCUAGGCGACGAUCCCUAGCUGGUCUGAGAGGAUGACCAGCCACACUGGAACUGAACCACGGUCCAGACUCCUACGGGAGGCAGCAGUGGGGAAUAUUGCACAAUGGGCGCAAGCCUGAUGCAGCCAUGCCGCGUGUAUGAAGAAGGCCUUCGGGUUGUAAAGUACUUUCAGCGGUGAGGAAGGGAGUAAAGUUAAUACCUUUGCUCAUUGACGUUACCCGCAGAAGAAGCACCGGCUAACUCCGUG